Myotis davidii is the source of this 74-nucleotide non-coding RNA. Lineage: Eukaryota; Metazoa; Chordata; Mammalia; Chiroptera; Vespertilionidae. The record is from Rfam.
GCCGGUGUGGCUCAGUGGUUAGAGCGCCGACCUAGGAACCAGGAGGUCCCGGGUUCGAGUCCCGGUCAAGGGCA